GAUGAACGCUGGCGGCGUGCCUAAUACAUGCAAGUCGAGCGAACAGACGAGGAGCUUGCUCCUCUGACGUUAGCGGCGGACGGGUGAGUAACACGUGGGUAACCUACCUAUAAGACUGGGAUAACUUCGGGAAACCGGAGCUAAUACCGGAUAAUAUAUUGAACCGCAUGGUUCAAUAGUGAAAGACGGUUUUGCUGUCACUUAUAGAUGGAUCCGCGCCGCAUUAGCUAGUUGGUAAGGUAACGGCUUACCAAGGCGACGAUGCGUAGCCGACCUGAGAGGGUGAUCGGCCACACUGGAACUGAGACACGGUCCAGACUCCUACGGGAGGCAGCAGUAGGGAAUCUUCCGCAAUGGGCGAAAGCUUGACGGAGCAACGCCGCGUGAGUGAUGAAGGUCUUCGGAUCGUAAAACUCUGUUAUUAGGGAAGAACAAAUGUGUAAGUAACUAUGCACGUCUUGACGGUACCUAAUCAGAAAGCCACGGCUAACUACGUG
Molecule: ribosomal RNA, 497 nt
Filed under: uncultured bacterium
Lineage: Bacteria
Description: partial 16S ribosomal RNA
Rfam family: Bacterial small subunit ribosomal RNA
Source: RNAcentral